AACGAACGCUGGCGGCAUGCCUAACACAUGCAAGUCGAACGAGACCUUCGGGUCUAGUGGCGCACGGGUGCGUAACGCGUGGGAACCUGCCCUUAGGUUCGGAAUAACUCCCCGAAAGGGGUGCUAAUACCGGAUAAUGUCUUCGGACCAAAGAUUUAUCGCCUUUGGAUGGGCCCGCGUUGGAUUAGCUAGUUGGUAGGGUAAAAGCCUACCAAGGCGACGAUCCAUGGCUGGUCUGAGAGGAUGAUCAGCCACACUGGGACUGAGACACGGCUCAGACUCCUACGGGAGGCAGCAGUGGGGAAUAUUGGACAAUGGGCGAAAGCCUGAUCCAGCAAUGCCGCGUGAGUGAUGAAGGCCUUAGGGUUGUAAAGCUCUUUUACCCGGGAUGAUAAUGACAGUACCGGGAGAAUAAGCUCCGGCUAACUCCGUG
This 433-nucleotide ribosomal RNA is filed under the name uncultured bacterium. RNAcentral's name for it is "partial 16S ribosomal RNA". It matches the Rfam family "Bacterial small subunit ribosomal RNA", at positions 29 to 507 of the family's 1533-position model. The record is from RNAcentral.